Molecule: ribosomal RNA, 483 nt
Filed under: Dialonectria episphaeria
Lineage: Eukaryota; Fungi; Ascomycota; Sordariomycetes; Hypocreales; Nectriaceae
Also listed under: 1 other name
Description: eukaryotic LSU rRNA
Rfam family: Eukaryotic large subunit ribosomal RNA
Source: RNAcentral
UGAAAUCUGGCCCUUGGGUCCGAGUUGUAAUUUGUAGAGGAUGCUUUUGGUGAGGUGCCUUCCGAGUUCCCUGGAACGGGACGCCAUAGAGGGUGAGAGCCCCGUCUGGUUGGACACCGAGCCUCUGUAAAGCUCCUUCGACGAGUCGAGUAGUUUGGGAAUGCUGCUCUAAAUGGGAGGUAUAUGUCUUCUAAAGCUAAAUAUCGGCCAGAGACCGAUAGCGCACAAGUAGAGUGAUCGAAAGAUGAAAAGCACUUUGAAAAGAGGGUUAAAUAGUACGUGAAAUUGUUGAAAGGGAAGCGCUUAUGACCAGACUUGAGCCCGGUUAAUCAUCCAGCCUUCUGGCUGGUGCACUUGGCCGGCUCAGGCCAGCAUCAGUUCGGCGCGGGGGAUAAAGACUUCGGGAAUGUGGCUCCUCCGGGAGUGUUAUAGCCCGCUGUGUAAUACCCUGUACUGGACUGAGGUUCGCGCAUCUGCAAGGAU